GCGUGCUUAGCUCAGUUGGUAGAGCGGCGGUCUCCAAAACCGCAGGUCGUCGGUUCAAGCCCGGCAGCACGUGCCA
Molecule: transfer RNA, 76 nt
Filed under: Agrobacterium rubi
Lineage: Bacteria; Pseudomonadati; Pseudomonadota; Alphaproteobacteria; Hyphomicrobiales; Rhizobiaceae
Description: tRNA-Trp
Rfam family: tRNA
About the family: Transfer RNA (tRNA) molecules are approximately 80 nucleotides in length. Their secondary structure includes four short double-helical elements and three loops (D, anti-codon, and T loops). Further hydrogen bonds mediate the characteristic L-shaped molecular structure. tRNAs have two regions of fundamental functional importance: the anti-codon, which is responsible for specific mRNA codon recognition, and the 3' end, to which the tRNAs corresponding amino acid is attached (by aminoacyl-tRNA synthetases). tRNAs cope with the degeneracy of the genetic code in two manners: having more than one tRNA (with a specific anti-codon) for a particular amino acid; and 'wobble' base-pairing, i.e. permitting non-standard base-pairing at the 3rd anti-codon position.
Source: RNAcentral